CCUACGGGCGGCUGCAGUGAGGAAUAUUGGUCAAUGGGCGGGAGCCUGAACCAGCCAAGUCGCGUGAGGGAAGACGGUCCUAUGGAUUGUAAACCUCUUUAGGCGGGGAGCAAUGCCGCGCACGCGUGCCCGGCGGGAGAGUACCCGCAGAAUAAGCAUCGGCUAACUCCGUGCCAGCAGCCGCGGUAAUACGGAGGAUGCGAGCGUUAUCCGGAUUUAUUGGGUUUAAAGGGUGCGUAGGCGGAUUUUUAAGCCAGCGGUAAAAUGUCGGGGCUCAACCCGGGCCGGCCGUUGAAACUGGGUAUCUUGAGUGGGCGAGAAGUAUGCGGAAUGCGUGGUGUAGCGGUGAAAUGCAUAGAUAUCACGCAGAACUCCGAUUGCGAAGGCAGCAUACCGGCGCCCGACUGACGCUGAGGCACGAAAGCGUGGGUAUCGAACAGGAUUAGAUACCCCUGUAGUC
This 460-nucleotide ribosomal RNA is filed under the name uncultured bacterium. RNAcentral's name for it is "partial 16S ribosomal RNA". It matches the Rfam family "Bacterial small subunit ribosomal RNA", at positions 338 to 795 of the family's 1533-position model. The record is from RNAcentral.